Molecule: long non-coding RNA, 769 nt
Filed under: Monodelphis domestica (gray short-tailed opossum)
Lineage: Eukaryota; Metazoa; Chordata; Mammalia; Didelphimorphia; Didelphidae
Description: lncRNA (ENSMODG00000042288.1)
Source: RNAcentral
UUCUCCAUGAGGUUUUGAAAGCUUAGAGGAUGAGAUGGAAAACCAAAGUGAGGCUGAUGAAACAAGUGAGAGCAUGUACAUAUGUGUGUGUAUAUAUAUGUAAGUUGAAUUUAUUUUAUUUGCCUUUUGAGACAAUGAGGAAAGCUCAGCUGUCAAGAAACAGGGAUGCUAAUCCUCAUUCAGUCAUUACUAACAAACUGAUAUGCAACUAAAAAACCAAUGUGGAAAAGAGAACAAAAAAGGAGUGAGAAGAGAAGAGAAAGGGAAGAAAAAGGAAGAAAUGGAGAAAAGAAGAGAGGGAGAGAGUGUUAGUUUUUAAAAGCUGACAUUUUAAACUCUAUGGAAGAACAUCACCCCAUAAUACUUGAAAGAAAAUAUAAAAUCAUUUUGGUAUUUGAAGAAAUGGUAAAUGUGACAGAUUAAGAAUUACUGUAAGAAAGAUGGAUCUAUACAGAAAUACUAUUAAGAGUCAAACACCAGCAUGGUGGAAACUAUUUGAGAUUAUCUAGUAAAAGACUUGCAGAAAGGCAAAGGAAGAUGUCAUCAAUAUAGAGCUGGUAUGCUAUAUAUGAGUAUCUGGGUGAUACGGUUUAUAGACUUCAAGGUCUGGCAUCAGGAAGACUCUUUUUUUUUUAAUUUCAAACCUAGCUUCAGAUAUUUACUAACUAUGUGACUCUUGGCAAUUUAUUUAACCCUUUGUUAUUGAAAACAAUAAUGAAAAGGUUAUGGUCAUACAAGCAGUGCAAAAGACAAAAAUGAAAACACUUCA